CCUACGGGAGGCAGCAGUGGGGAAUAUUGGACAAUGGGGGAAACUCUGAUCCAGCGACGCCGCGUGAGUGAAGAAGUAUUUCGGUAUGUAAAGCUCUAUCAGCAGGAAAGAAAAUGACGGUACCUGACUAAGAAGCCCCGGCUAACUACUUGCCAGCAGCCGCGGUAAGACGGAGGGGGCAAGCGUUAUCCGGAUUUACUGGGUGUAAAGGGAGCGUAGACGGCAGCGCAAGUCUGGAGUGAAAUGCCGGGGCUCAACCCCGGAACUGCUCUGGAAACUGUGAAGCUGGAGUGCAGGAGAGGUAAGCGGAAUUCCUGGUGUAGCGGUGAAAUGCGUAGAUAUCAGGAGGAACACCGGCGGCGAAGGCGGCUUACUGGACUGUAACUGACGUUGAGGCUCGAAGGCGUGGGGAGCAAACAGGAUUAGAUACCCCAGUAGUC
RNAcentral lists this ribosomal RNA (440 nucleotides) under uncultured bacterium. RNAcentral's name for it is "partial 16S ribosomal RNA". It matches the Rfam family "Bacterial small subunit ribosomal RNA", at positions 338 to 795 of the family's 1533-position model. The record is from RNAcentral.